RNAcentral lists this ribosomal RNA (123 nucleotides) under Hydnum alboluteum. RNAcentral's name for it is "partial 28S ribosomal RNA". It matches the Rfam family "Eukaryotic large subunit ribosomal RNA", at positions 1 to 120 of the family's 3401-position model. Lineage: Eukaryota; Fungi; Basidiomycota; Agaricomycetes; Cantharellales; Hydnaceae. The record is from RNAcentral.
UUUUGACCUCGAAUCAGGUGGGACUACCCGCUGAACUUAAGCAUAUCAAUAAGCGGAGGAAAAGAAACUAACAAGGAUUCCCCUAGUAACGGCGAGUGAAGUGGGAUGAGCUCAAAUUUAAAA